RNAcentral lists this ribosomal RNA (429 nucleotides) under Actinomycetes bacterium. RNAcentral's name for it is "Actinobacteria bacterium partial 16S ribosomal RNA". It matches the Rfam family "Bacterial small subunit ribosomal RNA", at positions 355 to 776 of the family's 1533-position model. The record is from RNAcentral. Lineage: Bacteria; Bacillati; Actinomycetota; Actinomycetes.
UAGGGAAUCUUCCGCAAUGGGCGAAAGCCUGACGGAGCAACGCCGCGUGAGUGAUGAAGGUCUUCGGAUCGUAAAACUCUGUUAUUAGGGAAGAACAAAUGUGUAAGUAACUAUGCACGUCUUGACGGUACCUAAUCAGAAAGCCACGGCUAACUACGUGCCAGCAGCCGCGGUAAUACGUAGGUGGCAAGCGUUAUCCGGAAUUAUUGGGCGUAAAGCGCGCGUAGGCGGUUUUUUAAGUCUGAUGUGAAAGCCCACGGCUCAACCGUGGAGGGUCAUUAGAAACUGGAAAACUUGAGUGCAGAAGAGGAAAGUGGAAUUCCAGGAGCAGCGGGAAAAUGCGCAGAGAUAUGGGGGAACACCAGUGGCGAAGGCGAAUUUCUGGUAUGUAACUGACGCUGAUGUGCGAAAGCGUGGGGAUCAAACAGG